AUGAUGGGCCUGUAUCUCAGUUCUAGCUCCAAACACAGGAAGAUGAGAUCUGAGGACCUGCUUGAUGCUGACUGGGCACAUUUGAGGAUAAGUCCUGAGCUGAAGAAGCCAAGCACUUGUAAAAGCUGCAAUGUAUUUGCCAAGUCUAAUAUUUUCAAAUUCCUCCCGCAAAGUAAUGUCAACAGCAGUACUGUAUCCUCUCUGAGGUCUCAACACCAACAGGAACCCCUACUGUCUGGAUUUUUGCUUCUGCAACAGGAUUUCACACAGGCAUCCUCUAUAGAGGUGGAGUAA
This 294-nucleotide long non-coding RNA is filed under the name Anser brachyrhynchus (Pink-footed goose). Its description in RNAcentral is "lncRNA (ENSABRG00000009890.1)". Lineage: Eukaryota; Metazoa; Chordata; Aves; Anseriformes; Anatidae. The record is from RNAcentral.